This 116-nucleotide small RNA is filed under the name Arabidopsis thaliana (thale cress). RNAcentral's name for it is "ATSL237090". The record is from RNAcentral. Lineage: Eukaryota; Viridiplantae; Streptophyta; Magnoliopsida; Brassicales; Brassicaceae.
AUCACCUCUUUAGCUGUUCAUCAUUGGUAAUAUUUUCAGCAACAGGUUCAUAUACACCAGUGUCGAUGUUCAUUUGCAUGACUCUGUUUGUCAGCAUCUUCUCUCCAAUCUUUUGA